UAAUACGGAGGAUCCAAGCGUUAUCCGGAAUCAUUGGGUUUAAAGGGUCCGUAGGCGGUUUAAUAAGUCAGUGGUGAAAGCCCAUCGCUCAACGGUGGAACGGCCAUUGAUACUGUUAAACUUGAAUUAUUAGGAAGUAACUAGAAUAUGUAGUGUAGCGGUGAAAUGCUUAGAGAUUACAUGGAAUACCAAUUGCGAAGGCAGGUUACUACUAAUGGAUUGACGCUGAUGGACGAAAGCGUGGGUAGCGAACAGGA
RNAcentral lists this ribosomal RNA (257 nucleotides) under uncultured bacterium. Its description in RNAcentral is "partial 16S ribosomal RNA". It matches the Rfam family "Bacterial small subunit ribosomal RNA", at positions 521 to 777 of the family's 1533-position model. The record is from RNAcentral.